Molecule: long non-coding RNA, 3748 nt
Organism: Oncorhynchus tshawytscha (Chinook salmon)
Lineage: Eukaryota; Metazoa; Chordata; Actinopteri; Salmoniformes; Salmonidae
Source: Ensembl
AUUUUGACUGCAAAGCUUCGUGUGUUUCUUUAUUACCAAACCACUUCACCGUGAGAUAAAAGUAGAUUAAAAUACCACCACAAACAUUAUUCAAAAAUCACAUUUUUUAUUUUCUUACAAGAAUUCAGUUAAUAAAACAUCUAAUCCCAAAGUGAUUGGAAAGCAACACUUCACAAAACAAGACCAAAGUACACACCUUACAAAUUAUCUAAGCAAUACCAGUAAUAAACAAGGUUAUCAUUUUGUGCAAAAUUAUAUUAAAUUUGGCUCCAUGCUCCCGAGUGGUGUGACGUGGUUUAAAGUGACUGCGCUGCAUGCCAAUAAGAAGUCAGUAGUGGUUUCUAAGAUAGCUGCGCCGCCUUGUGGUACAUCGUGGUAUUACAUGAAUGCUGCGCCACCCUGUGGUACAUCGUAGUAUUACAUCUAACCUACCAGUGGGCAUUUCUCCAUUCCACUCAGUCAGUCAGUAAUCUCACAUUCCUUCUGUAUAAGUGGAUACUCACACAGUACACAAUACAAAUCGACGUAUGAAAAUAGUGUGCGACCAGUGUCAUCUACCUAUGAAAACAAUCCUACCAUUUAAAAAGAAGUGUGUUAUAUCAAAAACAUAGGAUACCAUAGUGCAUCAGAUUGUACAAGAUUUGCAUCCAUCAUUGUGUUCGUCCAGAACUCUCUGCCAGAAGCAAAGGAAUUACCCCACAGUAUACAGCACAGUGAAAAACACAUGUUUAAAGUCAGUCAGACAUUUAGAUUGGAGUUGGUGAUUAGAAACAAGCAGUCCACAGACGUCAUCAUAUGGCUAUAGAUGGUUAAACAUGCAGAAGAGAAAGGCAAGUCUUAUUGUACCUAACACACUGUGCAGUUGUUCCUCUUUAAAAGGUCUCAGUCAGUUGUUCCUCUUUAAAAGGUCUCAGUCAGUUGCUCCUCUUUAAAAGGUCUCAGUCAGUUGUUCCUCUUUAAAGGUCUCAGUCAGUUGCUCCUCUUUAAAAGGUCUCAGUCAGUUGCUCCUCUUUAAAAGGUCUCAGUCAGUUGUUCCUCUUUAAAAGGUCUCAGUCAGUUGUUCCUCUUUAAAGAUCUCGGUCAGUUGCUCCUCUUUAAAAGGUCUCAGUCAGUUGCUCCUCUUUAAAAGGUCUCAGUCAGCUGUUCCUCUUUAAAAGGUCUCAGUCAGUUGUUCCUCUUUAAAAGGUCUCAGUCAGUUGUUCCUCUUUAAAAGGUCUCAGUCAGUUGUUCCUCUUUAAAAGGUCUCAGUCAGUUGUUCCUCUUUAAAAGGUCUCAGUCAGUUGUUCCUCUUUAAAAGGUCUCAGUCAGUUGCUCCUCUUUAAAAGGUCUCAGUCAGUUGUUCCUCUUUAAAAGGUCUCAGUCAGUUGCUCCUCUUUAAAAGGUCUCAGUCAGUUGUUCCUCUUUAAAAGGUCUCAGUCAGUUGCUCCUCUUUAAAGAUCUCGGUCAGUUGCUCCUCUUUAAAGGUCUCAGUCAGUUGCUCCUCUUUAAAAGGUCUCAGUCAGUUGUUCCUCUUUAAAAGGUCUCAGUCAGUUGUUCCUCUUUAAAAGGUCUCAGUCAGUUGUUCCUCUUUAAAAGGUCUCAGUCAGUUGCUCCUCUUUAAAAGGUCUCAGUCAGUACACUUAUCAGUGGUGGCUGGUGCCACCUUGAAUCUGAGGAGGGACUCAUAGUAAUGGCUGGAAUGAAUAGACAGGCAUCAAACACAUCUAGACUUGGUUUCUUCCCAGUGUUUGACUCCGUUCCAUCUAUUCCAUUCCAGCCAUUAUUAUGAGCCGUCCUCCCUUGACCAGCCUCCAAUGACUCUCUUGUACAUAGGGAGGCUAUCACUUUGUGUUUGCUGUUUGCUUAAAGGGAUAGUUCAUCCAAAUUACACUAUAACCUUUAAAUUCAGAGGGUUCCUGAGUUGUUGGAAUAGAGAUAUUGCUGCUUAAGGUUCUUUAUUCCUUAGCCCUCUGAUAUCUCUCUACUGUUCUAGAGCCCUCUGAUAGCUCUCUACUGUUCUAGAGCCCUCUGAUAUCCCGCUACUGUUCUAGAGUCCUCUGAUAUCUCGCUACAGUUCUAGAGCCCUCUGAUAUCUCGCUACUGUUCUAGAGCCCUCUGAUAUCUCGCUACUGUUCUAGAGCCCUCUGAUAUCUCGCUGCUGUUCUAGAGCCCUCUGAUAUCUCUCUACUGUUCUAGAGCCCUCUACUGUUCUAGAGCCCUCUGAUAUCUCACUACUGUUCUAGAGCCCUCUGAUAUCCCUCUACUGUUCUAGAGCCCUCUGAUAUCUCGCUACUGUUCUAGAGCCCUCUGAUAUCCCUCUACUGUUCUAGAGCCCUCUGAUAUCUCGCUACUGUUCUAGAGCCCUCUGAUAUCCCUCUACUGUUCUAGAGCCCUCUGAUAUCUCUCUACUGUUCUAGAGCCCUCUGAUAUCCCUCUACUGUUCUAGAGCCCUCUGAUAUCCCUCUACUGUUCUAGAGCCCUCUGAUAUCUCUCUACUGUUGUAGAGCCCUCUGAUAUCUCUCUACUGUUCUAGAGCCUUCUGAUAUCUUGCUACUGUUGUAGAGCCCUCUGAUAUCUCUCUACUGUUCUAGAGCCCUCUGAUAUCUCUCUACUGUUCUAGAGCCUUCUGAUAUCUCGCUACUGUUCUAGAGCCCCCUGAUGUCUCUCUACUGUUCUAGAGCCCUCUGAUAUCUCUCUACUGUUCUAGUGCCCUCUGAUGUCUCUCUACUGUUCUAGAGCCCUCUGAUAUCUCUCUACUGUUCUAGAGCCCUCUGAUAUCCUCUCUACUGUUCUAGAGCCCUCUGAUAUCCCUCUACUGUUCUAGAGCCCUCUGAUAUCUCUCUACUGUUGUAGAGCCCUCUGAUAUCUCUCUACUGUUCUAGAGCCUUCUGAUAUCUUGCUACUGUUGUAGAGCCCUCUGAUAUCCCUCUACUGUUCUAGAGCCCUCUGAUAUCUCUCUACUGUUGUAGAGCCCUCUGAUAUCGCUCUACUGUUCUAGAGCCUUCUGAUAUCUCGCUACUGUUCUAGAGCCCUCUGAUGUCUCUCUACUGUUCUAGUGCCCUCUGAUGUCUCUCUACUGUUCUAGAGCCCUCUGAUAUCUCUCUACUGUUCUAGAGCCCUCUGAUAUCUAUACUGUUCUAGAGCCAUCUGAUGUCCCUCUACUGUUAUAGAGCCCUCUGAUAUCUCUCUACUGUUGUAGAGCCCUCUGAUAUCUCUCUACUGUUGUAGAGCCCUCUGAUAUCUCUCUACUGUUCUAGAGCCCUCUGAUAUCUCUCUACUGUUCUAGAGCCUUCUGAUAUCUCUCUACUGUUCUAGAGCCCUCUGAUAUCUCUCUACUGUUCUAGAGCCCUCUGAUAUCUAUACUGUUCUAGAGCCAUCUGAUGUCCCUCUACUGUUCUAGAGCCCUCUGAUAUCUCUCUACUGUUGUAGAGCCCUCUGAUAUCUCUCUACUGUUCUAGAGCCCUCUGAUAUCCCUCUACUGUUCUAGAGCCAUCUGAUGUCUCUCUACUGUUCUAGAGCCCUCUGAUAUCUCUCUACUGUUCUAGAGCCCUCUGAUAUCCCUCUACUGUUCUAGAGCCAUCUGAUGUCCCUCUACUGUUCUAGAGCCCUCUGAUAUCUCUCUACUGUUCUAGAGCCCUCUGAUAUCUAUACUGUUCUAGAGCCAUCUGAUGUCCCUCUACUGUUCUAGAGCCCUCUGAUAUCUCUCUACUGUUCUAGAGCCCUCUGAUAUCUCUCUACUGUUCUAGAGCCCUCUGAUAUCUCUCUACUG